RNAcentral lists this ribosomal RNA (490 nucleotides) under uncultured bacterium. Its description in RNAcentral is "partial 16S ribosomal RNA". It matches the Rfam family "Bacterial small subunit ribosomal RNA", at positions 30 to 507 of the family's 1533-position model. The record is from RNAcentral.
AUUGAACGCUGGCGGCAGGCCUAACACAUGCAAGUCGAAUGGUAACAGGAAACAGCUUGCUGUUUCGCUGACGAGUGGCGGACGGGUGAGUAAUGUCUGGGAAACUGCCUGAUGGAGGGGGAUAACUACUGGAAACGGUAGCUAAUACCGCAUAACGUCGCAAGACCAAAGAGGGGGACCUUCGGGCCUCUUGCCAUCAGAUGUGCCCAGAUGGGAUUAGCUAGUAGGUGGGGUAACGGCUCACCUAGGCGACGAUCCCUAGCUGGUCUGAGAGGAUGACCAGCCACACUGGAACUGAGACACGGUCCAGACUCCUACGGGAGGCAGCAGUGGGGAAUAUUGCACAAUGGGCGCAAGCCUGAUGCAGCCAUGCCGCGUGUAUGAAGAAGGCCUUCGGGUUGUAAAGUACUUUCAGCGGGGAGGAGGGGAGUAAAGUUAAUACCUUUGCUCAUUGACGUUACCCGCAGAAGAAGCACCGGCUAACUCCGUG